Small nuclear RNA from Cervus hanglu yarkandensis (Yarkand deer), 96 nucleotides. NCBI's taxonomy places the organism in Eukaryota, Metazoa, Chordata, Mammalia, Artiodactyla, Cervidae. The record is from Ensembl.
GUGCUCACUUCAGCAGCAUAUACACUAAAAUUGAAACAGUACAGAGAAGAUUAGCAUGGCCCCUGCGCACAAAUUCGUGAAGCGUUCCUUAUUUCU